UGAGAAAUAGUGGAAUUGGCCCAAAUGGUUAAUAUACUCUCUCUCCACCGUCGGCUUAUCUCUCCCAUUCCAUCUUCUAAAUUUUUCUCCGAAUUGAGGAAACCCUAGGUUCAUUUCCUCACAAAAUCGGUGGUCUAAUGCCCCCCUUCCUCAGCGGCUUUGCUGACUCACCACCACCGUUCGCCGCCGCCGAACUCCGCUCUCCAUCGAGUUCCGUCAGACGGUAUCGUCGCCUUCUGCUCCUCGUCUCACCACGUCUCGCGGAGACCCGACUAGGACGGUGUGGUCCGUGUUCGUCGCUGGCCUCCUAUCGAUGGCACAACUUCUCCGGCCGGUUCUUCAUCCGUCAGCGCCUGGCGGAGCUGGUUUAACCCCUGCCGAUACCUCUGUCGGUCGCUUCCUUUGAUCCGAAGCUAAGUCUCCUUCUUUCCCCCUCAAUUUCUCCAAUUUAAAUUUCUAUCGUUGGAAUCGGACGCAACAACUUCAACUCUUGUCCCUCACCAUUCUUUCUCUGUCAGAUCAGAGGUGCUGCAUUUCCUCUCCGGCGAGAGCCGUCGUCGAUAGCUCCUCUCCACCACCCCAGCCGGUGCUGCGGCUGCGUAGUCGUCCGCCUCGCUGUCCCGGCGCCAUUGACAGCAGAGAAGUAGGGCGUCACCUCUCUGCGAAGACGCCGUCGAGCUUGGCUCGUGGUUGCAGUCUGACGCGGUUCAAGGCGCAUGCUUCGACAGUGGCUUCGCCGCCUCUCCUCCGCGGCGCAGCAGCUAAGUCCCUAACUUAGCUAGUUUACGUUUUCUUUAGACGAAGCCAUUUCUUAUUACCGAUUUAGAAUUGGGCAGAUCAUGGUGUUUCCCUUAUGAGCCUCAAACCUAGAGGUUGAACUGCAAAAGUUUAAGCAUAUCGUCUGGUUUUAUUGUGCUAGUUUCAGUAGGUCCCUAUAAGGCAUUUGGACAGAAUUCUAAUCGAUUUUUUUGGGGGCUACUGGCUGUUACCAUUAUUAGUUUCUACCGUUAUGGAUUCUACUUGAUGUUGCUAUCUGUGAUGCUUUCUAAAUGGUGCAAAGGGUGAUAGCUUUAUCUCUUGGAGGUGAACUUGUGGUGUUGUCCUUAGGCUGUGAAACUCGGCCUCUAAUGGUGAGGAAUAACUUGCAGAGUCCUUGCAGCAAGCUUAACUAAGAUCCUCUCCUUCCAACUCAAAGGGAGAACUUAUGGGAUAAUUUGUUAUGCAUAGAGGCUGCCUAUAUAGGAGAACUUAUGUACUUGUGAGAGCUCUGAUCGGCCGGCAGUGGCAUUGGUUUUUCUUAUUGGCUGCCCUCUAACUGCAUUUGGCGUUUUCUUGAGUGCUUAGUACUUAAUCCAUUUAUGAAGUUUGUAUGUUUAUGGCAGGUGCACAAUCUUUGACCGCAUUUCAUUGGCAAUGGCUGGUAUAAAUGGAGUACAAGCUGCAGGGAUUCAGCCUUGCACAGUGCAUCUACUGAGGUGCAAAUUCUGUUGGUUGGACUUGCUCUUUUCGGCCCAACUCUUUCUCACUUUUCUGAAAGGAGCUGAGGCGGGCUACUGAGGCUGCCCUUCAUCGUGGUCUCGCCCUCUCGGGCUUAUCUGAAAUUUUGGGGCGGAGACGGCCUGGUGAUCAAGAUCAAGGUCGAAAUUUUGGGGCCUCGAGUUGUAAUAGCGUAGUUGGACUUAACUUUCUUUCCAACAUGUACGCAAAACUCGUUUAAUAGUUGGUGUGUAUUUCUUUCUAGCAUUUGUAACUCAUUAGCUUGGAAUUCUUUAUUUUGUAUUUAUUAAUUUUUAUUUAAGAAAUAAAAAUACUCUUUCAUUCAUCAUCAAA
This is a long non-coding RNA of Salvia splendens (bonfire salvia), 1830 nucleotides long. RefSeq lists it as uncharacterized. NCBI's taxonomy places the organism in Eukaryota, Viridiplantae, Streptophyta, Magnoliopsida, Lamiales, Lamiaceae. The transcript is spliced from 2 exons. The record is from RefSeq and is a predicted model, not a curated record.